GCUACUACCGAUUGAAUGGUUUAGUGAGGACUCCUGAUUGGCGCCGCCGCCCCGGCAACGGAGCAGCGGACUGACGCAGUGCUCAGCUUCUGGACGUUGCGUUGGAAAGUUUCAUGAACCUUAUCACUUAGAGGAAGGAGAAGUCGUAACAAGGUUUCCGUAGGUGAACCUGCAGAAGGAUCA
This 183-nucleotide unclassified non-coding RNA is filed under the name sea anemone metagenome. RNAcentral describes it as "partial contains small subunit ribosomal RNA and internal transcribed spacer 1". It matches the Rfam family "Eukaryotic small subunit ribosomal RNA", at positions 1678 to 1828 of the family's 1831-position model. The record is from RNAcentral.